AUUGAACGCUGGCGGCAUGCUUUACACAUGCAAGUCGAACGGUAACAGGCCUUCGGGUGCUGACGAGUGGCGAACGGGUGAGUAAUGCAUCGGAACGUACCCAGAGGUGGGGGAUAACGCAGCGAAAGCUGUGCUAAUACCGCAUGUGAUCUGAGGAUGAAAGCGGGGGACCGAGCAGCAAUGUUUGGCCUCGCGCCUUUGGAGCGGCCGAUGUCGGAUUAGCUAGUUGGUGGGGUAAAGGCCUACCAAGGCGACGAUCCGUAGCUGGUCUGAGAGGACGACCAGCCACACUGUGACUGAGACACGGCCGAGACUCCUGCGGGAGGCAGCAGUGGGGAAUUUUGGACAAUGGGCGCAAGCCUGAUCCAGCAAUGCCGCGUGCAGGAAGAAGGCCUUCGGGUUGUAAACCGCUUUUGGCAGGAACGAAACGGUGUCCGCUAAUACCGGGCGCUAAUGACGGUACCUGCAGAAUAAGCACCGGCUAACUACGUG
This 492-nucleotide ribosomal RNA is filed under the name uncultured bacterium. RNAcentral's name for it is "partial 16S ribosomal RNA". It matches the Rfam family "Bacterial small subunit ribosomal RNA", at positions 30 to 507 of the family's 1533-position model. The record is from RNAcentral.